Molecule: ribosomal RNA, 657 nt
Filed under: uncultured marine bacterium
Lineage: Bacteria
Description: bacterial SSU rRNA
Rfam family: Bacterial small subunit ribosomal RNA
Source: RNAcentral
UGCAAGUCGAGCGGUCCUUCGGGACAGCGGCGAACGGGUUAGUAACGCGUGGGAACGUGCCCUUUAGUACGGAAUAGCCAUUGGAAACGAUGAUUAAUACCGUAUACGCCCCAAGGGGGAAAGAUUUAUCGCUAAAGGAUCGGCCCGCGUUAGAUUAGGUAGUUGGUAGGGUAAUGGCCUACCAAGCCGACGAUCUAUAGCUGGUUUGAGAGGAUGAUCAGCAACACUGGGACUGAGACACGGCCCAGACUUCUACGGAAGGCAGCAGUAGGGAAUCUUGGACUAUGGGCGAAAGCCUGAUCCAGCCAUGCCGCGUGAGUGAUGAAGGCCCUAGGGUUGUAAAGCUCUUUCGCCAGGGAAGAUAAUGACGGUACCUGGUAAAGAAACCCCGGCUAACUCCGUGCCAGCAGCCGCGGUAAUACGGAGGGGGUUAGCGUUGUUCGGAAUUACUGGGCGUAAAGCGCACGUAGGCGGAUUAAUAAGUCAGGGGUGAAAUCCCGAGGCUCAACCUCGGAACUGCCUUUGAUACUGUUAGUCUUGAGUUCGAGAGAGGUGAGUGGAAUUCCGAGUGUAGAGGUGAAAUUCGUAGAUAUUCGGAGGAACACCAGUGGCGAAAGCGGCUCACUGGCUCGAUACUGACGCUGAGGUGCGAAAGCG